RNAcentral lists this ribosomal RNA (482 nucleotides) under uncultured bacterium. RNAcentral describes it as "partial 16S ribosomal RNA". It matches the Rfam family "Bacterial small subunit ribosomal RNA", at positions 28 to 507 of the family's 1533-position model. The record is from RNAcentral.
GAUGAACGCUCGCGGCAGGCCUAAUACAUGCAAGUCGGACGGGAUUCAGGAGCUUGCUUCUGAUGAGAGUGGCGCACGGGUGCGUAACACGUAUGUAACCUACCUUUAUCAGGGGGAUAGCCUCUCGAAAGAGAGAUUAAGCCCGCAUAAAAUCACAGCACAGCAUUGUGUAAUGAUCAAAUAUUUAUAGGAUAAAGAUGGGCAUGCGGAACAUUAGCUAGAUGGCGGGGUAACGGCCCACCAUGGCGACGAUGUUUAGGGGAUCUGAGAGGAUGGCCCCCCACACUGGUACGGAGACACGGACCAGACUCCUACGGGAGGCAGCAGUAAGGAAUAUUGGUCAAUGGGCGGAAGCCUGAACCAGCCAUGCCGCGUGCAGGAAGACGGCCCUACGGGUUGUAAACUGCUUUUAGACGGGAAUAAACCCAGAUACGUGUAUCUGGCUGAAUGUACUGUAAGAAUAAGGAUCGGCUAACUCCGUG